Molecule: ribosomal RNA, 1390 nt
Filed under: bacterium 14W435
Lineage: Bacteria
Description: bacterial SSU rRNA
Rfam family: Bacterial small subunit ribosomal RNA
Source: RNAcentral
GAGCGGGGAAGGGUAGCUUGCUACCUGACCUAGCGGCGGACGGGUGAGUAAUGCUUAGGAAUCUGCCUAUUAGUGGGGGACAACAUUCCGAAAGGAAUGCUAAUACCGCAUACGCCCUACGGGGGAAAGCAGGGGAUCUUCGGACCUUGCGCUAAUAGAUGAGCCUAAGUCAGAUUAGCUAGUUGGUGGGGUAAAGGCCUACCAAGGCGACGAUCUGUAGCGGGUCUGAGAGGAUGAUCCGCCACACUGGGACUGAGACACGGCCCAGACUCCUACGGGAGGCAGCAGUGGGGAAUAUUGGACAAUGGGCGAAAGCCUGAUCCAGCCAUGCCGCGUGUGUGAAGAAGGCCUUUUGGUUGUAAAGCACUUUAAGCGAGGAGGAGGCUACCGAGAUUAAUACUCUUGGAUAGUGGACGUUACUCGCAGAAUAAGCACCGGCUAACUCUGUGCCAGCAGCCGCGGUAAUACAGAGGGUGCGAGCGUUAAUCGGAUUUACUGGGCGUAAAGCGUGCGUAGGCGGCUUUUUAAGUCGGAUGUGAAAUCCCUGAGCUUAACUUAGGAAUUGCAUUCGAUACUGGGAAGCUAGAGUAUGGGAGAGGAUGGUAGAAUUCCAGGUGUAGCGGUGAAAUGCGUAGAGAUCUGGAGGAAUACCGAUGGCGAAGGCAGCCAUCUGGCCUAAUACUGACGCUGAGGUACGAAAGCAUGGGGAGCAAACAGGAUUAGAUACCCUGGUAGUCCAUGCCGUAAACGAUGUCUACUAGCCGUUGGGGCCUUUGAGGCUUUAGUGGCGCAGCUAACGCGAUAAGUAGACCGCCUGGGGAGUACGGUCGCAAGACUAAAACUCAAAUGAAUUGACGGGGGCCCGCACAAGCGGUGGAGCAUGUGGUUUAAUUCGAUGCAACGCGAAGAACCUUACCUGGUCUUGACAUAGUAAGAACUUUCCAGAGAUGGAUUGGUGCCUUCGGGAACUUACAUACAGGUGCUGCAAUGGCUGUCUCAGCUCGUGUCGUGAGAUGUUGGGUUAAGUCCCGCAACGAGCGCAACCCUUUUCCUUAUUUGCCAGCGGGUUAAGCCGGGAACUUUAAGGAUACUGCCAGUGACAAACUGGAGGAAGGCGGGGACGACGUCAAGUCAUCAUGGCCCUUACGACCAGGGCUACACACGUGCUACAAUGGUCGGUACAAAGGGUUGCUACCUAGCGAUAGGAUGCUAAUCUCAAAAAGCCGAUCGUAGUCCGGAUUGGAGUCUGCAACUCGACUCCAUGAAGUCGGAAUCGCUAGUAAUCGCGGAUCAGAAUGCCGCGGUGAAUACGUUCCCGGGCCUUGUACACACCGCCCGUCACACCAUGGGAAUUUGUUGCACCAGAAGUAGGUAGUCUAACCGCAAGGAG